CCUACGGGAGGCAGCAGUGAGGAAUAUUGGUCAAUGGACGAGAGUCUGAACCAGCCAAGUCGCGUGAAGGAUGACUGCCCUCUGGGUUGUAAACUUCUUUUAUAUGGGAAUAAAACGUUCCACGUGUGGGAUUUUGUAUGUACCAUAUGAAUAAGGAUCGGCUAACUCCGUGCCAGCAGCCGCGGUAAUACGGAGGAUCCGAGCGUUAUCCGGAUUUAUUGGGUUUAAAGGGAGCGUAGGUGGAUUGUUAAGUCAGUUGUGAAAGUUUGCGGCUCAACCGUAAAAUUGCAGUUGAAACUGGCAGUCUUGAGUACAGGAGAGGUGAGCGGAAUUCGUGGUGUAGCGGUGAAAUGCUUAGAUAUCACGAAGAACUCCGAUUGCGAAGGCAGUUCACUGGACUGCAACUGACACUGAGGCUCGAAAGUGUGGGUAUCAAACAGGAUUAGAUACCCGUGUAGUC
This 460-nucleotide ribosomal RNA is filed under the name uncultured bacterium. Its description in RNAcentral is "partial 16S ribosomal RNA". It matches the Rfam family "Bacterial small subunit ribosomal RNA", at positions 338 to 795 of the family's 1533-position model. The record is from RNAcentral.